GAGCGGUAGUUCAGUUGGUUAGAAUACCGGCCUGUCACGCCGGUGGUCGCGGGUUCGAGUCCCGUCCGCUCC
This 72-nucleotide transfer RNA is filed under the name marine eukaryotic metagenome. It matches the Rfam family "tRNA". Rfam says of the family: Transfer RNA (tRNA) molecules are approximately 80 nucleotides in length. Their secondary structure includes four short double-helical elements and three loops (D, anti-codon, and T loops). The record is from RNAcentral.